RNAcentral lists this ribosomal RNA (369 nucleotides) under uncultured bacterium. Its description in RNAcentral is "bacterial SSU rRNA". It matches the Rfam family "Bacterial small subunit ribosomal RNA", at positions 434 to 793 of the family's 1533-position model. The record is from RNAcentral.
CAGUUGUGAGGAAGGUGGUGUCGUUAAUAGCGGCAUCAUUUGACGUUAGCAACAGAAGAAGCACCGGCUAACUCCGUGCCAGCAGCCGCGGUAAUACGGAGGGUGCGAGCGUUAAUCGGAAUUACUGGGCGUAAAGCGCAUGCAGGUGGUUUGUUAAGUCAGAUGUGAAAGCCCGGGGCUCAAACCUCGGAAACUGCUAUUUGAAAAACUGGCAGACUAGAGUACUGUAGGAGGGGGUAGAAUUUCAGGUGUAGCGGUGAAAAUGCGUAGAGAUCUGAAGGAAUACCGGUGGCGAAGGCGGCCCCUGGACAGAUACUGACACUCAGAUGCGAAAGCGUGGGGAGCAAACAGGAUUAGAUACCCUGGUAG